This 190-nucleotide small RNA is filed under the name Arabidopsis thaliana (thale cress). Its description in RNAcentral is "ATSL250630". Lineage: Eukaryota; Viridiplantae; Streptophyta; Magnoliopsida; Brassicales; Brassicaceae. The record is from RNAcentral.
UUCUAUAAAACACUAAUACAAAAUCAGAUUUACCCUAAUCUGCAAAUUCGAGCUGAUUGAAGAAAACCCCAGAGGGUUUUCCGAAGAAAAUCAAAACGAAUAACAGAUAUAGGGAAACGAUUUGGCGUCAGCUCAUACACAACGAACAUAAACAAGUACGGUGGUAAUCAGUAAUAUUGACGCACAAUUU